AGAUGCCCAAGAAGUAGAGGCAGUAUGAACUAUUCUACCUAUUAUCUUUAUUUUAAUUGCUCUUCCAUCGUUAUAUAUUCUGUAUACAACAUGAAAUUAAUAACCCCUCCCUAACCUAUGAAUAUACAAAGUAUGAAGACCUAAAUUUUGACUCCUACAGAUUUCCUACAACAGACUUAAAACCAGGAGAGCUGCAGCUACUUGAAUUUGACAAUCAAGUAGCCUUCCCCGUAGAAACAUCAAUUCAAAUAUUAAGUUCGUCGAAAGACAUCCUACGUUCAUGAACCUUACCAUCAUUAGGCCUAAACAGAUGCAAUGCCAGGAUGUUUAAACCAAGCAAUCCUGACAUUUACACAAUCAGGCCUUUCUACAGUCAGUGCUCGGAAAUCUGUGGAUCUAAUCAUAGCUUCAUACCCAUUGUUCUUGAA
Molecule: long non-coding RNA, 428 nt
Filed under: Homo sapiens (human)
Lineage: Eukaryota; Metazoa; Chordata; Mammalia; Primates; Hominidae
Description: non-protein coding lnc-ZNF791-7:1
Source: RNAcentral